This 494-nucleotide ribosomal RNA is filed under the name uncultured bacterium. Its description in RNAcentral is "bacterial SSU rRNA". It matches the Rfam family "Bacterial small subunit ribosomal RNA", at positions 1 to 518 of the family's 1533-position model. The record is from RNAcentral.
UACCUCCGUGUGUCGUCGUGCGAGUCAGAGAGUAGUGUCUCGUCGUCAGAACGAACGCUGGCGGCAGGCCUAACACAUGCAAGUCGAGCGCGCCCUUCGGGGUGAGCGGCGGACGGGUUAGUAACGCGUGGGAACGUACCCUUUGGUAGGGAAUAGCCACUGGAAACGGUGAGUAAUACCCUAUGAGCCCUUCGGGGGAAAGAUUUAUCGCCAAAGGAUCGGCCCGCGUUAGAUUAGGUAGUUGGUGGGGUAAUGGCCUACCAAGCCUACGAUCUAUAGCUGGUUUUAGAGGAUGAUCAGCAACACUGGGACUGAGACACGGCCCAGACUCCUACGGGAGGCAGCAGUGGGGAAUCUUGGACAAUGGGGGCAACCCUGAAUCCAGCCAUGCCGCGUGAGUGAAGAAGGCCUUAGGGUCGUAAAGCUCUUUCGCCUGUGAAGAUAAUGACGGUAGCAGGUAAAGAAACCCCGGCUAACUCCGUGCCAGCAGCCGC